This 438-nucleotide ribosomal RNA is filed under the name uncultured bacterium. RNAcentral's name for it is "partial 16S ribosomal RNA". It matches the Rfam family "Bacterial small subunit ribosomal RNA", at positions 29 to 507 of the family's 1533-position model. The record is from RNAcentral.
AACGAACGCUGGCGGCAUGCCUAACACAUGCAAGUCGAACGAAACCUUCGGGUCUAUUGGCGCACGUGUGCUUACCGCGUGGGAACCUGCCCUUAGGUUCGGUAUAACUCCCCUAAGGGGGUGCUAAUACAGGAUAAUGUCUUCGGACCAAAGAUUUGUCGCCUGUUGAUGGGCUCGCGGUGGUUUAGCUUGUUGGUGGGGUAGUGGCCUAUCAAGGCUACGAUGGGUAGCUGGUCUGAGAGGAUGAUCGGCCACAUUGGGACUGAGAUAAGGCCCAGACUAGUACGGGAGGCAGAAGUGGGGAAUAUUGCACAAUGGGCGGAAGCAUGAUGCAGCAAAGCAGCGUGCGGGAUGACGGCCUGGGGGUUGUAAACCGAUGUCGCCUGUGACGAAGCGUGAGUGACGGUAAUGGGUAAAGAAGCACCGGCUAACUACGUG